GAGAGAGUCUGUCUCCACAGAUUCAAUGUCCGGAGCAUUUCUGGUUCUGCGCUGUAAUCCCCAGUAAAAGACAAUAAUGUGUGGCUGCUUUGUAAUAGGUUUCUCUUAGUUCCCAGUUUCCACAAUACAUAGAUAUCUUCCCAGAUUUCUCCAACCAACAGGUCUUUGUCACCUUCUUGCUUCUGUUGUUGCUAGCACACUCACCAUUCUUAGGCAGCUGAGAUGCUUUCAAAACCGAUGACUGGAUUCUGCCAACUGGUCCCUGGAAGCAGGAAGCUGUUGAGAUUCUGCAGAGAGAGUCUGUCUCCACAGAUUCAAUGUCCGGAGCAUUUCUGGUUCUGCGCUGUAAUCCCCAGUAAAAGACAAUAAUGUGUGGCUGCUUUGUAAUAGGUUUCUCUUAGUUCCCAGUUUCCACAACACAUAGAUAUCUUCCCAGAUUUCUCCAACCAACAGGUCUUUGUCACCUUCUUGCUUCUGUUGUUGCUAGCACACUCACCAUUCUUAGGCAGCUGAGAUGCUUUCAAAACCGAUGACUGGAUUCUGCCAACUGGUC
Molecule: long non-coding RNA, 553 nt
Filed under: Arabidopsis thaliana (thale cress)
Lineage: Eukaryota; Viridiplantae; Streptophyta; Magnoliopsida; Brassicales; Brassicaceae
Description: long non-coding RNA (ATHA_LNC000340)
Source: RNAcentral